RNAcentral lists this ribosomal RNA (545 nucleotides) under Eubacterium sp. oral taxon G75. Its description in RNAcentral is "bacterial SSU rRNA". It matches the Rfam family "Bacterial small subunit ribosomal RNA", at positions 378 to 942 of the family's 1533-position model. Lineage: Bacteria; Bacillati; Bacillota; Clostridia; Eubacteriales; Eubacteriaceae. The record is from RNAcentral.
AAAGCCUGAUGCAGCAACGCCGCGUGAAGGAAGAAGGCUUUCAGUCGUAAACUUCUGUCCAAAGGGAAGAAUAAUGACGGUACCUUUGAAUAAAGUCCCGGCUAACUACGUGCCAGCAGCCGCGGUAAUACGUAGGGGGCGAGCGUUAUCCGGAAUUACUGGGCGUAAAGAGUAUGUAGGUGGUUAAGUAAGCGUAGGGUUUAAGGCGACAGCCCAACUGUCGUAUGCCCCGCGAACUGUUUAACUUGAGUACAGGAGGGGAAGGCGGAAUUCCUAGUGUAGCGGUGAAAUGCGUAGAUAUUAGGAGGAACACCAGUGGCGAAGGCGGCCUUCUGGACUGUAACUGACACUGAGAUACGAAAGCGUGGGUAGCAAACAGUGAUUAGAUACCCUGGUAGUCCACGCCGUAAACGAUGAGCACUAGGUGUCGGGCUCGCAAGAGUUCGGUGCCGGAGCAAACGCAUUAAGUGCUCCGCCUGGGGGUACGCACGCAAGUGUGAAACUCAAAGGAAUUGACGGGGGACCGCACAAGCAGCGGAGCAUGU